This is a long non-coding RNA of Gavialis gangeticus (Gharial), 1200 nucleotides long. RefSeq lists it as uncharacterized. NCBI's taxonomy places the organism in Eukaryota, Metazoa, Chordata, Crocodylia, Gavialidae. The record is from RefSeq and is a predicted model, not a curated record. The transcript is spliced from 2 exons.
CACUAUGAGGAAUGGGAGGGAAGGAAAUAAAAUUCAUCCUCAUUCAUCUGACUGCAAUAAUAGGUAUCGCCUAUGCAUUUAUAAGUGCACUGCUGUUAACAUGAUCUCUCUUCCAGCAAUACUGCAUCUCUCCCCAGUUUGAAGUGGGCAGUGGCUGCUACUAGGCUGGUCACAUCUGUUGCUUCUGCUAAUAGACCCUUCAUCAGCAAGCAGCAAAUCCUCCACAGAAAGAGACUAGUCAGGAACAUAGAUGGAGCACAUCUGGAGUGCAACAAAAUUACCCCAUUCACCUAUGAGUCGGAGGUAUUUCCAACACCAUGAAGAAUGAACCCUAGUGAAAGGGGUUUGAGUGAAGCACUGGUCUUACCAUGCAUAGUUAAGUCCAACUCAGGCUUCCUGCAGAAUAAAAGAAUCUCAGCUGUCUUGGAGAAUGAGACACUAUGAUUUUUUCACACUCUCAGUUCAUGUGUAGAGGAUUCAGCAACCGUAUCUAGUGGUUUUUUUCUGAUCAGAAUUCCUCACCCAGAACAAGCUGGACUCAUGAAAAAUGUUUACCCCCCCCCCCACUAAAUCUGCAGAAAAAAAUUAAUCCCCCCUUUGGGGGGAGGGGGGUGAUCAGCAAUUUACCCAUCUUCAUGGUCAACAAAUCUAGAUUUAGCAUCAAGGUAGAGUAUUUUCUGCACACACAUAACAAAUAUUAAAGGCCAUCAUUUAUUAGAAUCACCAUCACAGCUGAUCCUAAUUCAGGAAUGUAUUUCAGCAGUGAAACAAGGUCACACUAUCAAAACGCUGAUGGUAAAAAUGCUUUGGAGUCUUCAGGUAUCUUAAUGAGGCUUUGAUUUAAUGUGAUGAGAAACAAACAAAGAAAAAACCCACCUCUCCAAAAUGACAGUCUUUGGUGGAAGCUUAGUUCAUGUUACUGAUUACCACUUUGGAGUGAUUGAGCCUGAGUUUCACAGUUACAUAGAGCUCUCUGUUACCUGCUUGAUUAAUGUAACUGAGGCCAUGCCUCAGGCAGUGUUUUUCAGGCUUGAUUACAUGGGCUUUUUCACAAGCUUAGUGUCUUUCAUGUGGCUCCAUGCGUACUGUAGUUGGAGAUUGAGUGUGCACUGGCUUCAAGAGAAUAAGACUGUAAACUUAACACUAUUAUCACAUAUGCAAUAGUACUGAGCUGGCAGGAGGGGAGAUCAGACAAAGUUA